CAGCUGAUCCGCCGUCAGCCUUGCCAUCGCAUCAUCGUGCGGCGCCAGGACGGUUAACAAGUACCCCUCCGACACCAGCCGCCCCAUCUCGGUUGCUAGGGAGGUUAAAUUCACCAGAAUGUCAGCCAUCUCGUUGUAGCCGCCAUAGAGGAGUAAUGUCUGAAUGAAGUCUUUGACCUGUGAUUCGCCGUCGAAGUGGUGCUUCCCGGAACCGGGACCGGGUGCGGGGGCAGGGGCGAUGGAUGGCCCGGGGGCCAGCGCGUCGAAUAUGGGGAGCGCGGGAGGGGAUCCGGCCGGUGCUGGCGGCGCCUGCUUCUUGAGGCGGUGCGUGCGAGGGUCGACUUCGGGUGCGCCGGUGGGUAAGACGGCGGAGAUGUCGGCGAGGCUGCGGCGGCGGUUGAAGGCGUCCUGGACGGAGCGGGGGAUGAGGAGGCCAGAGAUGCCGUGGAUGACGCCGUCGGGGCGGACGACGGCGGCGGGGUGGACGACGGCGGCUGGGUCGACGGAGACGAGAUCGUCGGCGAGGGUUUGGUGGCGGGAGGCGGCGGGGAAGGAAGAGAUGCGGGUCGGGAUGACGUGGGAGAGUAUGAGGGUUUGGAGGGAGCGGAGGUUGCCCGGCUGGAGGAGGAAGCGCUUGAAGUCCGGGUCGAGGUCGCGGUCGAGGGCGGAGUUGAUCGGGGCGAGGAUGGUGAGGUUGUGGCGGCCGACGGCGUCUUCGAGGGUGUGGAGGAGGAGGGCUUUCUCGACGAGCUCGGCGAGUUCGGUGUAGUGGGAGUCCAGGAGGGCGACUAGGACGGAGUUGGAGUUGACCUGACCCGAGGACGGCAAUGCCGGUGAGGAGGAGGCGAUGGAGAGAAGGGGGAGGAGGAGGGCGGCGAGGAGGCCGCGGCGAUCCAUGGCGGCGGCGGCGGAGGGGAAGUGGGGGAUCA
This 929-nucleotide unclassified non-coding RNA is filed under the name Hevea brasiliensis (rubber tree). The record is from RNAcentral. Lineage: Eukaryota; Viridiplantae; Streptophyta; Magnoliopsida; Malpighiales; Euphorbiaceae.